This 26-nucleotide non-coding RNA is filed under the name Rattus norvegicus (Norway rat). Lineage: Eukaryota; Metazoa; Chordata; Mammalia; Rodentia; Muridae. The record is from RNAcentral.
UUAUAUUCCUGAGGACCUGGUGUGGC